UACAGAGGGUGCAAGCGUUAUUCGGAUUUACUGGGCGUAAAGGGCGCGUAGGCUGUUUUAUAAGUCUGAUGUGAAAGCCCCGGGUUCAACUCGGGAUGUGCAUUGGAUACUGUAAAGCUAGAGUGCAGGAGAGGAGAGCGGAAUUCCUGGUGUAGAGGUGAAAUUCGUAGAUAUCAGGAGGAACAACAGUGGCGAAGGCGGCUCUCUGGACUGUAACUGACGCUGAGGCGCGAAAGCGUGGGGAGCAAACAGG
This 253-nucleotide ribosomal RNA is filed under the name uncultured bacterium. RNAcentral's name for it is "partial 16S ribosomal RNA". It matches the Rfam family "Bacterial small subunit ribosomal RNA", at positions 524 to 776 of the family's 1533-position model. The record is from RNAcentral.